GGCAUGGUAGCUCAGUUGGUUAGAGCAUUGUCCCACUAUGCCAAGGUUGUGGGUUCAAUUCCCAGUCAGGGCG
This is a non-coding RNA of Myotis brandtii (Brandt's bat), 73 nucleotides long. The record is from Rfam. NCBI's taxonomy places the organism in Eukaryota, Metazoa, Chordata, Mammalia, Chiroptera, Vespertilionidae.